CACCCGGACUCCGCCAUGUUGAGUCUUGUGGGUCGUGUGGCCGCCGCGUCGGCCUCCGGGGCCUUGCGGGGACUCAGCCCUUCGGCGUCGCUCCCCCAAGCUCAGCUUUUACUGCGGGCCGCCCCGGCAGCGGUCCAGCCUGCCAGAGACUAUGCGGCGCAAACAUCUCCGUCGCCCAAGUCAGGCGCCGCCACCGGACGCAUCGUGGCGGUCAUCGGUGCAGUGGUGGACGUCCAGUUUGAUGAAGGAUUGCCACCCAUUCUAAACGCCUUGGAAGUGCAAGGCAGGGAGACCCGGCUGGUUUUGGAAGUGGCUCAGCAUCUGGGUGAGAGUACAGUAAGAACGAUUGCCAUGGAUGGUACAGAAGGCCUAGUCAGAGGCCAGAAAGUCCUGGAUUCUGGUGCACCAAUCAAAAUUCCUGUUGGUCCUGAGACCUUGGGCAGAAUCAUGAAUGUCAUUGGAGAACCUAUUGAUGAGAGAGGGCCUAUCAAAACCAAACAAUUUGCUCCUAUUCAUGCUGAGGCUCCUGAGUUCAUAGAGAUGAGUGUUGAGCAGGAAAUUCUGGUGACUGGGAUCAAGGUUGUGGAUCUGCUAGCUCCCUAUGCCAAAGGUGGCAAAAUUGGGCUGUUUGGUGGUGCUGGAGUUGGCAAGACCGUGUUGAUCAUGGAGUUAAUCAACAAUGUUGCCAAAGCCCAUGGUGGUUACUCCGUGUUUGCUGGUGUCGGUGAGAGGACCCGAGAAGGCAAUGAUUUAUAUCAUGAAAUGAUUGAAUCUGGUGUAAUCAAUUUAAAAGAUGCUACCUCAAAGGUAGCAUUGGUAUAUGGUCAAAUGAAUGAACCACCUGGUGCUUGUGCCCGGGUAGCCCUGAUGGGGCUGACUGUGGCCGAAUAUUUUAGAGACUAAGAAGGUCAAGAUGUACUGCUGCUUAUCGAUAACAUCUUUCGCUUCACCCAGGCUGGCUCAGAGGUGUCUGCCUUACCGGGCAGAAUUCCUUCUGCUGUAGGCUAUCAGCCAACCCUAGCAACUGACAUGGGUACUAUGCAAGAAAGAAUCACCACCACCAAGAAAGGAUCUAUCACCUCUGUACAAGCUAUCUACGUCCCUGCUGAUGACUUGACUGACCCUGCCCCAGCUACUGCUUUUGCCCAUUUGGAUGCUACUACCGUGCUGUCUCGUGCUAUUGCUGAGCUGGGUAUCUAUCCAGCUGUGGAUCCUCUGGACUCCACCUCUCGCAUCAUGGAUCCUAACAUUGUUGGCAGCGAGCAUUAUGAUGUUGCCCGUGGGGUGCAAAACAUCCUUCAGGACUACAAAUCCCUCCAGGACAUCAUUGCCAUCCUGGGUAUGGAUGAACUUUCUGAGGAGGACAAGUUGACUGUGUCCCGAGCACGGAAAAUGCAGCAUUUCUUGUCUCAGUCAUUCCAGCUUGCUGAGGUCUUCACAGGGCAUAUGGGGAAGCUGGUACCCCUGAAGGAGACCAUCAAAGGAUUCCAGCAGAUUUUGGCAGGCGACUAUGACCAUCUCCCAGAACAGGCCUUUUACAUGGUGGGACCCAUUGAAGAAGCUGUGGCAAAAGCUGAUAAACUUGCCGAGGAGCAUGCGUCUUGAGAGCCUCCCGCCAGAAUAAGCUCUCUUCUGUCCUGCCCUUCACUUUGCUGAUAACCCUGAAACCAGUUUCUGUGUCGGCCGUACAAGAGCCUCAGUUGAAGACAUACUGUGUCUGAAGAGUAUUUAAGGUUUCCAAUAAAAUGUAAACCCAG
Molecule: RNA transcript, 1757 nt
Organism: Octodon degus (degu)
Lineage: Eukaryota; Metazoa; Chordata; Mammalia; Rodentia; Octodontidae
Gene name: ATP synthase subunit beta, mitochondrial pseudogene
Exons: 1
Source: RefSeq, a predicted model, not a curated record